Molecule: non-coding RNA, 619 nt
Organism: Musa acuminata subsp. malaccensis (wild Malaysian banana)
Lineage: Eukaryota; Viridiplantae; Streptophyta; Magnoliopsida; Zingiberales; Musaceae
Source: RefSeq, a predicted model, not a curated record
CUUUCCCUCUCAAAUAGAGGCUCUCGAGAGAGCACAGCCGAAGAAAACGGUGGAGGGAAGGGAAAGGAUCCAUCCUUCGUUCAUCCGCAAUCGCGAUUCCUCCAACUCCCUUCACCCAAUUCCUCUCUGCCGCAGCAAUUUGCCGCAUUUCAAUCCCGAGUAACCAAUAACAACAAGGAGGCCGAUCAAAGAAUGGUGUUUCCUGGAGAGCUGGGAGUCUAUGUUGAUAAUAUCGCAUUCCAGCGCAUCGGGUACUCCAUGGAUGAUAGAAGCAAGAGGACUUAAAAAGAACUUCACAUGACAAACCAACGGGUGACUCAAUGCUGACCACCUUGCCACCUACUACCAAAGAUUAAACUCAAUGCUAACUGGUUUGAUAUAAACAUGAUUUUGUAUGUCUCCGAGCAUGCCUCGCAGAAAGAAUGGUAUUCCUGACUAGGAUUUUAGCAAUAGGAAGACCAUUUGAGGACAAAAUUGGCACAAAGAACAGUUGAAGACAAAGUGAAAGAUGAACACUACAUGUAAAAUUUUGGAAAGUUACUCAGCUUAGCUUUUCAUGAGAUUACUGUUUAAACUCCUUUCCCAAUGAUAGUGUUUCAACCUCGAUUUCUUUUCGGUA